CCUACGGGGGGCAGCAGUGGGGAAUAUUGGACAAUGGGCGAAAGCCUGAUCCAGCCAUGCCGCGUGUGUGAAGAAGGCCUUCGGGUUGUAAAGCACUUUCAGUGGGGAAGAAAGCCUUGGGGCUAAUACCCUCGAGGAAGGACAUCACCCACAGAAGAAGCACCGGCUAACUCCGUGCCAGCAGCCGCGGUAAUACGGAGGGUGCGAGCGUUAAUCGGAAUUACUGGGCGUAAAGCGCGCGUAGGCGGUCUGAUAAGCCGGUUGUGAAAGCCCCGGGCUCAACCUGGGAACGGCAUCCGGAACUGGCAGGCUAGAGUGCAGUAGAGGAAGGUAGAAUUCCCGGUGUAGCGGUGAAAUGCGUAGAGAUCGGGAGGAAUACCAGUGGCGAAGGCGGCCUUCUGGACUGACACUGACGCUGAGGUGCGAAAGCGUGGGUAGCAAACAGGAUUAGAUACCCGAGUAGUC
This 465-nucleotide ribosomal RNA is filed under the name Vreelandella stevensii. Its description in RNAcentral is "partial 16S ribosomal RNA". It matches the Rfam family "Bacterial small subunit ribosomal RNA", at positions 338 to 795 of the family's 1533-position model. Lineage: Bacteria; Pseudomonadati; Pseudomonadota; Gammaproteobacteria; Oceanospirillales; Halomonadaceae. The record is from RNAcentral.